UACAGAGGGUGCAAGCGUUAAUCGGAGUUACUGGGCGUAAAGGGCGCGUAGGCGGUUAUGUAAGUGAGAUGUGAAAGCCCUGGGCUUAACCUAGGAACUGCAUCUUAUACUGCAUAACUGGAGUACUGUAGAGGGUAGUGGAAUUUCCGGUGUAGCGGUGAAAUGCGUAGAGAUCGGAAGGAACACCAGUGGCGAAGGCGGCUACCUGGACAGAUACUGACGCUGAGGCGCGAGAGCGUGGGGAGCAAACAGG
RNAcentral lists this ribosomal RNA (253 nucleotides) under uncultured bacterium. RNAcentral describes it as "partial 16S ribosomal RNA". It matches the Rfam family "Bacterial small subunit ribosomal RNA", at positions 524 to 776 of the family's 1533-position model. The record is from RNAcentral.